RNAcentral lists this long non-coding RNA (457 nucleotides) under Ananas comosus (pineapple). Its description in RNAcentral is "long non-coding RNA (ACOM_LNC043402)". The record is from RNAcentral. Lineage: Eukaryota; Viridiplantae; Streptophyta; Magnoliopsida; Poales; Bromeliaceae.
CCUGGGCAUGCUAGAUCUGCCACAAAUACAGGGAGUCCACUGUUCACACAAGUACAAGAUACAUAAAACAGGAUACAACCACCACAACUUAAUAUACAUACAUUCAUACAUUCAUACACCAUUCAACAUCAGAUUCACAUUCAGAGUUUAUCCAGAAAAUCCAUAACUAUUUUUGAAAUACUAAGUCAUGAAAACCAAGAAAGCCCUUUUACAAACCGUUUCUCACACGGAAACCUUUUUCUUUUUAAAACACGCUGCCACGAGGAGUGGAAAAUCAUUUUCAGUUUACAAGAAUUACAAAUCCUUUAUUACAUUCAUGAAAUCCCAAAUAUUCAAAUGUAAUAAAAUACUAAACCAAAUUUGCUGUCUAAGUUAAUUAUUGAAGGAAACAGAGUUAAGGAGUUAAACCAAAAUGGCGGGACGGUGGCUCUAUCGAUUGCUAACUGCGCUCCUCACG